Molecule: ribosomal RNA, 253 nt
Filed under: uncultured bacterium
Lineage: Bacteria
Description: partial 16S ribosomal RNA
Rfam family: Bacterial small subunit ribosomal RNA
Source: RNAcentral
UACGUAGGGUGCAAGCGUUAAUCGGAAUUACUGGGCGUAAAGCGUGCGCAGGCGGUUCCAUAAGACAGAUGUUAAAUCCCCGGGCUCAACCUGGGAACUUCAUUUGUGACUGUGGGGCUAGAGUACGGUAGAGGGGGAUGGAAUUCCGCGUGUAACAGUGAAAUGCGUAGAUAUGAGGAGGAACACCAAUGGCGAAGGCAAUCCCCUGGACCUGUACUGACGCUCAUGCACGAAAGCGUGGGGAGCAAACAGG